RNAcentral lists this ribosomal RNA (948 nucleotides) under uncultured archaeon. RNAcentral describes it as "bacterial SSU rRNA". It matches the Rfam family "Archaeal small subunit ribosomal RNA", at positions 1 to 940 of the family's 1478-position model. The record is from RNAcentral.
GGCCGCGGGAAUUCGAUUUCUGGUUGAUCCUGCCAGCGGGCACCGCUAUUGGAGUUCGCUUAAGCCAUGCGAGUCGAGAGGGGUAAGCCCUCGGCGCACUGCUCAGUAACACGCGGACAAUCUGCCCUCGAGACGGGGAUAACCCCGGGAAACUGGGAAUAAUACCCGAUAGACCUGAGGUGAUGGAAGGCUCCCAGGUCGAAAUCCUGCGAGGCUCGAGGAUGGGUCUGCGGCCUAUCAGGUAGUAGGGGGUUUCACGGACCCCCUAGCCGAAGACGGGUACGGGCUUUGAGAGAAGUCGCCCGGAGAUGGAUUCUGAGACACGAAUCCAGGUCCUACGGGACGCAGCAGGCGCGAAACCUCCACAAUGUGGGAAACCACGAUGGGGGGACUCCAAGUGCCUACACUAAGUGUAGGCUGUUCUCGAGCCUAAAAAGCUCGAGAAGUAAGGGCCGGGUAAGACGGGUGCCAGCCGCCGCGGUAAUACCCGCGGCCCGAGUGGUGCUCAUUAUUAUUGAGCCUAAAGCGUCCGUAGCUGGCCAGGCAAAUCUCCGGGUAAAUCGGGCGGCCCAACCGUCCGAACUCCGGAGACACUGCUUGGCUUGAGAUCGGGAGAGGGAGAAGGUACUCCCUGGGUAGGGGUAAAAUCCUGUAAUCCGGGGGGGACCACCAGUGGCGAAGGCGUUCUCCUAGAACGAAUCUGACAGUGAGGGACGAAGCCCUAGGGCGCAAACGGGAUUAGAUACCCCGGUAGUCUAGGGUGUAAACGCUGCAGACUUGGUGUUGGGGGUCCUGCGUGGGCUCCCAGUGCCGGAGCGAAGGUGUUAAGUCUGCCGCUUGGGGAGUACGGUCGCAAGACUGAAACUUAAAGGAAUUGGCGGGAGAGCACCGCAACGGGAGGAGCGUGCGGUUCAAUUGGAUUCAACGCCGGGAAUCACUAGUGAAUUC